Molecule: long non-coding RNA, 264 nt
Filed under: Mytilus galloprovincialis (Mediterranean mussel)
Lineage: Eukaryota; Metazoa; Mollusca; Bivalvia; Mytilida; Mytilidae
Source: RNAcentral
CCCUUUUUUCUCUAGUCUUCAAAAAAUUAACCCCUUUUUUCUCUAAUCUUAUUUUUUUGCCCGUUAUUCUCUAAUCUUCAUUUUUUAAGGGCAUUAUUCUUUAAUCAUUUAACCCCAUCCAAACCCUCUUGUAUAACAUGUUAUGAUAGCUAUUAUGGUUGGUAUGUAAGUCAUACAGGAUAACGUUGGGUAUAUGACAGACAAUCUUAAAGAAUUAUUAUAGUCGUCUUUUUAAUAACAUGAUAUGCAAAUAAACUGUUUAAC